RNAcentral lists this ribosomal RNA (488 nucleotides) under uncultured bacterium. Its description in RNAcentral is "partial 16S ribosomal RNA". It matches the Rfam family "Bacterial small subunit ribosomal RNA", at positions 30 to 507 of the family's 1533-position model. The record is from RNAcentral.
AUUGAACGCUGGCGGCAGGCCUAACACAUGCAAGUCGAACGGUAGCACAGAGAGCUUGCUCUCGGGAGACGAGUGGCGGACGGGUGAGUAAUGUCUGGGAAACUGCCCGAUGGAGGGGGAUAACUACUGGAAACGGUAGCUAAUACCGCAUAAUGUCGCAAGACCAAAGAGGGGGACCUUCGGGCCUCUUGCCAUCGGAUGUGCCCAGAUGGGAUUAGCUUGUUGGUGAGGUAAUGGCUCACCAAGGCGACGAUCCCUAGCUGGUCUGAGAGGAUGACCAGCCACACUGGAACUGAGACACGGUCCAGACUCCUACGGGAGGCAGCAGUGGGGAAUAUUGCACAAUGGGCGCAAGCCUGAUGCAGCCAUGCCGCGUGUGUGAAGAAGGCCUUCGGGUUGUAAAGCACUUUCAGCGGGGAGGAAGGCAAUGCGGUUAAUAACCGUGUUGAUUGACGUUACCCGCAGAAGAAGCACCGGCUAACUCCGUG